ACAUAUACAUAUACAUAUUGCUAGUUGUAUGGUUGUAUUAUAGUUAUUUUUUUAAUUUUCAAUAAUUUGAAUUCGAAAUAUGCGUAUUCCUCGAAUAGGUAUAAUAUUAUUUAUCGGCUUUAAACGUAAUAUUUUAUUACUUGUCACCUCCUGUCAAGAUAAUAUCUAACAAUUUAAUAUAUAUGUAUUAUUGUAUCAUAAAUAAUAUUUAUUUCAUCGUCAUAAAUAACUGAGUUUAAAAGAAGUCAGUUAUUUUUACAGUAUAUUGACUUCAAAUUAUUUGUACAAGAACUAUAUAUUAUAUCAUAGAAUUUAUAAUGCGAUUCUAGUGAAAAAAUAAUGAUUAGGACUUGGAAGUUAUAGGAGGUUUAUAUGGCAAAAUAUGCACACAAAAAA
This is a non-coding RNA of Cinara cedri, 396 nucleotides long. The record is from the annotation of a GenBank genome assembly. Lineage: Eukaryota; Metazoa; Arthropoda; Insecta; Hemiptera; Aphididae.